UUUUCUUUGCAGAGCGUAUCACUCCGCCGUCCAUAGCAACGCCGUUGCUAAGGACGACAUUUUCGCGGGCGGCGGGCUGAAAUUUCAUCCGAGUUGUUGACAGCCGAUUACAUCACCAGUUUCGGCCUCUGCAUCAAGAUGGCGAUCAUCCUAGGCUUCACCGACUGUAAAAUUGGUGAAAGCCAUGCCCAACAGGAUUGUCACCAGCAGGAUACCAGGAUGUUAUAUUUAGCUUGAGAUUAUGGAUAUAUAUAUAAGAUGUAUUAUGUACAGAGAUCUUAAUUCCCAUUUAUUUUGUUUAUUGUAAUGUUAAUACAAUUUGGGAGCGUAUUUAAUAUUCGAUUCAGCAUCCAAUGUCUACUCUAACUUUCAAGCAUGUGUUAAGU
Long non-coding RNA from Branchiostoma belcheri (Belcher's lancelet), 386 nucleotides. RefSeq lists it as uncharacterized. The transcript is spliced from 3 exons. The record is from RefSeq and is a predicted model, not a curated record. Lineage: Eukaryota; Metazoa; Chordata; Leptocardii; Amphioxiformes; Branchiostomatidae.